Molecule: long non-coding RNA, 567 nt
Filed under: Pongo abelii (Sumatran orangutan)
Lineage: Eukaryota; Metazoa; Chordata; Mammalia; Primates; Hominidae
Description: lincRNA
Source: RNAcentral
GAAAACAGUGUGGGGCAAAGAACAGGACUAGGCUUUGAAACCCACAGUGGGUGUUGGCAAAAGUCACCUUUGUUUCAGCUUCAGUUGGAAUUUAAGCACCUACUUUUGAUUUUUAUUUUAGAGAAAAAAUUUAAAUUUAUUCUUAAAAGUAAAAUAUACUCUUUUGACAUACAAUUCUAAGAAUUUUCACAAGCCAGAAUCAUGUUAUUACCACCACAAUAAAGGCACAGAACAGUUUCUUCCUCAGUCCGUCCCAAAAUUAUCUGGGGCUGCGACCCCUUUGGAAUCAAAGCCUCCCUGAGUCCUUAACCUCUGGUAACCAUGAAUCUAUUCUCCAUCACUAUAAUUUUACCUUUUCCAGAAUGCUAUAAGUGGAGUCAUACAAUAUUUAGCCUUUGAGUCUGGCUUCUUUCUCUUAGCAGAAAGCAUAUGAGAUCUCUGUUGUGUUUACCAGAGGCUCAUCCCUUUUUAUUGCUGAGUAGUAUUCCAUCAUGUGGAUGUACUACUGUUUGUUUAUCCAUUUUUCAGUUGGGUUGUUUCUGAUUAUGAAUAAAGGUGCUAUAAACA